GAUUUCCGAAUGGGGAAACCCAGUGUGAUUCGUCACACUAUCAUUAACUGAAUCCAUAGGUUAAUGAGGCGAACCGGGGGAACUGAAACAUCUAAGUACCCCGAGGAAAAGAAAUCAACCGAGAUUCCCCCAGUAGCGGCGAGCGAACGGGGAGGAGCCCAGAGCCUGAAUCAGCAUGUGUGUUAGUGGAAGCGUCUGGAAAGGCGCGCGAUACAGGGUGACAGCCCCGUACACAAAAGCGCAUGUGCUGUGAGCUCGAUGAGUAGGGCGGGACACGUGGUAUCCUGUCUGAAUAUGGGGGGACCAUCCUCCAAGGCUAAAUACUCCUGACUGACCGAUAGUGAACCAGUACCGUGAGGGAAAGGCGAAAAGAACCCCGGCGAGGGGAGUGAAAAAGAACCUGAAACCGUGUACGUACAAGCAGUGGGAGCACCCUUUGGGGUGUGACUGCGUACCUUUUGUAUAAUGGGUCAGCGACUUAUAUUCUGUAGCAAGGUUAACCGUAUAGGGGAGCCGGAGGGAAACCGAGUCUUAACCGGGCGUUAAGUUGCAGGGUAUAGACCCGAAACCCGGUGAUCUAGCCAUGGGCAGGUUGAAGGUUGGGUAACACUAACUGGAGGACCGAACCGACUAAUGUUGAAAAAUUAGCGGAUGACCUGUGGCUGGGGGUGAAAGGCCAAUCAAACCGGGAGAUAGCUGGUUCUCCCCGAAAGCUAUUUAGGUAGCGCCUCGUGAAUUCAUCUCCGGGGGUAGAGCACUGUUUCGGCUAGGGGGCCAUCCCGGCUUACCAACCCGAUGCAAACUGCGAAUACCGGAGAAUGUUAUCACGGGAGACACACGGCGGGUGCUAACGUCCGUCGUGAAGAGGGAAACAACCCAGACCGCCAGCUAAGGUCCCAAAGUCAUGGUUAAGUGGGAAACGAUGUGGGAAGGCCCAGACAGCCAGGAUGUUGGCUUAGAAGCAGCCAUCAUUUAAAGAAAGCGUAAUAGCUCACUGGUCGAGUCGGCCUGCGCGGAAGAUGUAACGGGGCUAAACCAUGCACCGAAGCUGCGGCAGCGACGCUUAUGCGUUGUUGGGUAGGGGAGCGUUCUGUAAGCCUGUGAAGGUGGCCUGUGAGGGUUGCUGGAGGUAUCAGAAGUGCGAAUGCUGACAUAAGUAACGAUAAAGCGGGUGAAAAGCCCGCUCGCCGGAAGACCAAGGGUUCCUGUCCAACGUUAAUCGGGGCAGGGUGAGUCGACCCCUAAGGCGAGGCCGAAAGGCGUAGUCGAUGGGAAACGGGUUAAUAUUCCCGUACUUGGUGUUACUGCGAAGGGGGGACGGAGAAGGCUAUGUUGGCCGGGCGACGGUUGUCCCGGUUUAAGCGUGUAGGCUGGUUUUCCAGGCAAAUCCGGAAAAUCAAGGCUGAGGCGUGACGACGAGGCACUACGGUGCUGAAGCAACAAAUGCCCUGCUUCCAGGAAAAGCCUCUAAGCAUCAGGUAACAUCAAAUCGUACCCCAAACCGACACAGGUGGUCAGGUAGAGAAUACCAAGGCGCUUGAGAGAACUCGGGUGAAGGAACUAGGCAAAAUGGUGCCGUAACUUCGGGAGAAGGCACGCUGACACGUAGGUGAAGUGAUUUACUCAUGGAGCUGAAGUCAGUCGAAGAUACCAGCUGGCUGCAACUGUUUAUUAAAAACACAGCACUGUGCAAACACGAAAGUGGACGUAUACGGUGUGACGCCUGCCCGGUGCCGGAAGGUUAAUUGAUGGGGUCAGCGCAAGCGAAGCUCCUGAUCGAAGCCCCGGUAAACGGCGGCCGUAACUAUAACGGUCCUAAGGUAGCGAAAUUCCUUGUCGGGUAAGUUCCGACCUGCACGAAUGGCGUAAUGAUGGCCAGGCUGUCUCCACCCGAGACUCAGUGAAAUUGAACUCGCUGUGAAGAUGCAGUGUACCCGCGGCAAGACGGAAAGACCCCGUGAACCUUUACUAUAGCUUGACACUGAACAUUGAGCCUUGAUGUGUAGGAUAGGUGGGAGGCUUUGAAGUGUGGACGCCAGUCUGCAUGGAGCCGACCUUGAAAUACCACCCUUUAAUGUUUGAUGUUCUAACGUGGACCCGUUACCCGGGUUGCGGACAGUGUCUGGUGGGUAGUUUGACUGGGGCGGUCUCCUCCUAAAGAGUAACGGAGGAGCACGAAGGUUGGCUAAUCCUGGUCGGACAUCAGGAGGUUAGUGCAAUGGCAUAAGCCAGCUUGACUGCGAGCGUGACGGCGCGAGCAGGUGCGAAAGCAGGUCAUAGUGAUCCGGUGGUUCUGAAUGGAAGGGCCAUCGCUCAACGGAUAAAAGGUACUCCGGGGAUAACAGGCUGAUACCGCCCAAGAGUUCAUAUCGACGGCGGUGUUUGGCACCUCGAUGUCGGCUCAUCACAUCCUGGGGCUGAAGUAGGUCCCAAGGGUAUGGCUGUUCGCCAUUUAAAGUGGUACGCGAGCUGGGUUUAGAACGUCGUGAGACAGUUCGGUCCCUAUCUGCCGUGGGCGCUGGAGAACUGAGGGGGGCUGCUCCUAGUACGAGAGGACCGGAGUGGACGCAUCACUGGUGUUCGGGUUGUCAUGCCAAUGGCACUGCCCGGUAGCUAAAUGCGGAAGAGAUAAGUGCUGAAAGCAUCUAAGCACGAAACUUGCCCCGAGAUGAGUUCUCCCUGAGACUUAGAGUC
Molecule: ribosomal RNA, 2694 nt
Filed under: Salmonella enterica subsp. enterica serovar Hadar
Lineage: Bacteria; Pseudomonadati; Pseudomonadota; Gammaproteobacteria; Enterobacterales; Enterobacteriaceae
Description: partial 23S ribosomal RNA
Rfam family: Bacterial large subunit ribosomal RNA
Source: RNAcentral